This 980-nucleotide long non-coding RNA is filed under the name Androctonus crassicauda. The record is from RNAcentral. Lineage: Eukaryota; Metazoa; Arthropoda; Arachnida; Scorpiones; Buthidae.
AGUUUUUGUAUGUUUCUUAUAUUUUUGGGUACUCUGAAAGAGUUGUUUUUUCCGCUAAAACAAUCUCUUAUAAAAACAAAAAAAAAAAAAAAACAAAAUUUGAGUUAUCAUUUCAGUUGGAUAUAUAUUUUUCUCCCAUAAAAAAAAAAAGAAGAAAAUUAUUCAAAACAGAAAUAUGCUUCGUUUUUUUCCUUUUUACAUAUUUAAAAAAACUGUAAAGUUUCUAAAUCAUAUCUUGAGAUAUAUAUAUUAUAAAUGAAUUAUUCGUAUUAAAAUUCUUUGGAAGAAAACAUUAGUCUGCUCACAUUUAAUGUACUGUAAAUAUACCAUACUAGGUAACAUUUAAGUCGACCAAUGCCAGAACAAAUGUUAAAGAUCUUAAUCCGCAAUUGUAUAGUACGGAAAAAAGUAUAUAUACUCCAUGUAUAUAAAAAUUUAAAUCUAUAUAAUUGAACUAUUAUAUUGAGUAAAUUACAUUUAAGAAUAUUUUAAAAUGAAACUAUGCUGCAGAAAAAUGGAAAGAUAAACGAUCAAAUUGUAUUGGAGUACUGAUGAACAACUUACACGUUAAUAGCUAAGUGUAAUUAAUUUUUAAGGGAACAAUUUAAAAAAAAAAAAAAAGAUAUUUUAGGAACUGCAAUAUUAAUUUCUGUUACACUAUAUAUACAGGGUGUCCCGUGGGUCGUGGUCAUAAAUUUGAUACUGUGCAUGUUCAAUAGCAAGGAGCGGGGGGCUCCCUAUGAACAUGGGUCGAGGAACGCACCGUUUCUGAGAGGUGAUGAUGAUGAUGAUGAUGCGUGGGGAGGCUGGGCUUCUUCCCCUUGCCAUGUGGAUGGAGUGCCUUGUUUGUGUGGACGGAGGGGGGUGAACCUGGCUGAUUCGUUGCCUGGACUGUGUUUGAGUGGGACUGCAUGGCUGCAGCAGGUUGCAGCGGUGCGAGUUGGCGGAUGUGCAUUUCACGUGCGGUCGGGCAGGUGGGA